RNAcentral lists this ribosomal RNA (493 nucleotides) under Bacillus pumilus. RNAcentral's name for it is "bacterial SSU rRNA". It matches the Rfam family "Bacterial small subunit ribosomal RNA", at positions 78 to 564 of the family's 1533-position model. Lineage: Bacteria; Bacillati; Bacillota; Bacilli; Caryophanales; Bacillaceae. The record is from RNAcentral.
GCUUGCUCUUCUGCGGUUAGCGGCGGACGGGUGAGUAACACGUAGGCAACCUGCCUGUACGACUGGGAUAACUCCGGGAAACCGGAGCUAAUACCGGAUACGUUUUUCAAACCGCAUGGUCUGAAUUAGAAAGACCUUUGGUCACGUACAGAUGGGCCUGCGGCGCAUUAGCUAGUUGGUGGGGUAACGGCCUACCAAGGCGACGAUGCGUACCCGACCUGACAGGGUGAUCGGCCACACUGGGAGUGACACACGGCCCAGACUCCUACGGGAGGCAGCAGUAGGGAAUCUUCCGCAAUGGACGAAAGUCUGACGGAGCAACGCCGCGUGAACGAUGAAGGUUUUCGGAUCGUAAAGUUCUGUUGUUAGGGAAGAACCGCCGGGAUGACCUCCCGGUCUGACGGUACCUAACGAGAAAGCCCCGGCUAACUACGUGCCAGCACCCGCGGUAAUACGUAGGGGGCAAGCGUUGUCCGGAAUUAUUGGGCGUAAA